AUGCAAGUCGAGCGACAUAGCGGCAGACGAGAGAGUAAUAGUAAGGAACUUGCCCCCGAGUGAAGGAUAGCCAUCCGAAAGGAUGGGUAAUCCUGCAUAAUAUCGAAAGAUCAAAGCCUUCGGGCGCUUGGGGAGAGGCCUUACUCCUAUCAGCUUGUUGGUGAGGUAAUGGCUCACCAAGGCGAUGACGGGUAGCUGGUCUGAGAGGAUGAUCAGCCUCGAUGGGACUGAGACACGGCCCAUACUCC
Molecule: ribosomal RNA, 248 nt
Filed under: uncultured bacterium
Lineage: Bacteria
Description: partial 16S ribosomal RNA
Rfam family: Bacterial small subunit ribosomal RNA
Source: RNAcentral